ACCCCUUCCUAUACUA
RNAcentral lists this transfer RNA (16 nucleotides) under Lucasium wombeyi (Pilbara ground gecko). Its description in RNAcentral is "partial tRNA-Met". The record is from RNAcentral. Lineage: Eukaryota; Metazoa; Chordata; Lepidosauria; Squamata; Diplodactylidae. RNAcentral also lists the same sequence under 1 other name.